AACGAACGCUGGCGGCGUGCCUAACACAUGCAAGUCGAGCGAGAAAGUUCCUUCGGGAACGAGUAAAGCGGCGCACGGGUGAGUAACACGUAGGUAACUUGCCCCUUAGUCUGGAACAACUAGAGGAAACUCUAGCUAAUGCCGGAUGAGACCACGGUCCCUUCGGGGACUGCGACCAAAGAUGGCCUCUACUUGUAAGCUAUCGCUGAGGGAUGGGCCUGCGGGCCAUUAGCUUGUUGGUGAGGUAACGGCUCACCAAGGCUGUGAUGGCUAGGUGGUCUGAGAGGAUGACCAGCCACACUGGGACUGAGACACGGCCCAGACUCCUACGGGAGGCAGCAGUGGGGAAUAUUGCGCAAUGGGCGAAAGCCUGACGCAGCGACGCCGCGUGGGUGAUGAAGGCCUUCGGGUCGUAAAGCCCUGUCGCAGGGGAAGAAUAAGCAUCGGGAUAAUACCCCGGUGCCCUGACGGUACCCUGCAAGAAAGCACCGGCUAACUCCGUGCCAGCCGCCGCCGUAA
RNAcentral lists this ribosomal RNA (519 nucleotides) under uncultured bacterium. RNAcentral's name for it is "partial 16S ribosomal RNA". It matches the Rfam family "Bacterial small subunit ribosomal RNA", at positions 29 to 523 of the family's 1533-position model. The record is from RNAcentral.